RNAcentral lists this unclassified non-coding RNA (253 nucleotides) under uncultured Parcubacteria group bacterium. RNAcentral describes it as "contains 16S-23S intergenic spacer region". It matches the Rfam family "Bacterial small subunit ribosomal RNA", at positions 524 to 776 of the family's 1533-position model. The record is from RNAcentral.
UACGAGUGCCCCAAGCGUUAUCCGGAAUCACUGGGCGUAAAGGGUGUGCAGGCGGUUCUGUUAGUCCACUGUUAAAGCCCAAGGCUCAACCUUGGAAGCGCAGUGGAAACGGCAGAACUAGAGGACGUGAGAGGUGAGUGGAACCCAUAGUGUAGGGGUGAAAUCCGUUGAUAUUAUGGGGAACACCGAAGGCGAAGGCAACUCACUGGCACGUUCCUGACGCUCAAACACGAAAGCCAGGGUAGCGAACGGG